CCUACGUGGUCUGCAGUGGGGAAUAUUGGACAAUGGGCGAAAGCCUGAUCCAGCCAUGCCGCGUGUGUGAAGAAGGCCUUCGGGUUGUAAAGCACUUUCAGUGGGGAAGAAAGCCUUGGGGCUAAUACCCUCGAGGAAGGACAUCACCCACAGAAGAAGCACCGGCUAACUCCGUGCCAGCAGCCGCGGUAAUACGGAGGGUGCGAGCGUUAAUCGGAAUUACUGGGCGUAAAGCGCGCGUAGGCGGUCUGAUAAGCCGGUUGUGAAAGCCCCGGGCUCAACCUGGGAACGGCAUCCGGAACUGUCAGGCUAGAGUGCAGGAGAGGAAGGUAGAAUUCCCGGUGUAGCGGUGAAAUGCGUAGAGAUCGGGAGGAAUACCAGUGGCGAAGGCGGCCUUCUGGACUGACACUGACGCUGAGGUGCGAAAGCGUGGGUAGCAAACAGGAUUAGAUACCCUGGUAGUC
Molecule: ribosomal RNA, 464 nt
Filed under: Vreelandella stevensii
Lineage: Bacteria; Pseudomonadati; Pseudomonadota; Gammaproteobacteria; Oceanospirillales; Halomonadaceae
Description: partial 16S ribosomal RNA
Rfam family: Bacterial small subunit ribosomal RNA
Source: RNAcentral